Molecule: ribosomal RNA, 207 nt
Filed under: uncultured Rickettsia sp.
Lineage: Bacteria; Pseudomonadati; Pseudomonadota; Alphaproteobacteria; Rickettsiales; Rickettsiaceae
Description: partial 16S ribosomal RNA
Rfam family: Bacterial small subunit ribosomal RNA
Source: RNAcentral
CGCGUAGGCGGAUUAGUAAGUUGGGAGUGAAAGCCCGGGGCUUAACCUCGGAACUGCUUUCAAAACUGCUAGUCUUGAGUGAAGUAGGGGGUGAUGGAAUUCCUAGUGUAGAGGUGAAAUUCUUAGAUAUUAGGAGGAACACCGGUGGCGAAGGCGGUCACCUGGACUUCAACUGACGCUGAGGCGCGAAAGCGUGGGGAGCAAACA